UAGCUGUUUUCCAUUUGCCCAGAAACUGCCUUUUCGAUUUGUUUUUGUGCUCUGGUCUAGGAACCUGAGUUUCAACGACAGCUAAAUGAAUUCAGGGUGAGCUACUCCUCCUCCCAGUCGCACUCUAAAAAUUUUGGCUGAAUGUCUAAAGAAGCUACGAGCACCCGGAGGCCUUUAAGGAAAACACUGGCUGCGCACAGCUGCAGUUGGGGGCAGGGAUGGGGAAGGUGCUCACGGAGAGGCCAAACAGGGUCUACGGUGCAGUCCCAGAAGGUCACAUGAUGGCGACGAGAGCAAGCGAGGGGAGAGGCCCCAGCGGAUGCCGCCGCACUCCCGGCCACCAGGCGCGCGUGGGGGCCGUUGGUCUGACAGCUGCUGAGGGCUUCGGCUGCCUGAAAAGCCAUUUGCUCUGGCCUGCCCUGUCUGGCCAACUUCUAUGUAUUUAAAGGAUCCUCGCUGGUCUCUGAGCACCGCCCCCCCAUCUCCAUCUGAAUGGUCAGGCGCAGCGACCCUCUCUGGGAGGGCCAGGAGCCUCCCCGGAGACCUUCAGUCCCUCAUCUGCCUCCCCACGGCUGUCGUAACCUGCACAGUAGUGGAGAUCGGCUGGCAAUUCCUAAAUUAAGGUUCUGUUUACUCUGCUGUUCCAAAGGCUUGUUUUGAGCAAGAUGUUGUGCUUUAAUUAAAAAGACGAGAGAGCUCAUGAGUAAGUGAAAAUAUUUUUGAAUCUUCACAGAAAUGUCUGAAUUGGGUUUCUUGUGUUUCACAGUGAGGGGGGGUCAGGCUGGUCAGCACUUUUAUCUGGGGGACCACUGAAAACUCGUGCUAUAAGCUGACAACGGGCUCUUCUGCACAGUAGACUUGGGGGGGUACCCUAAGUCAAAAAUGCGUCCCUGCUGCUUCGGCAGGGUUAGCCGGCAUCCACGUGUAGUGAGGACACAUUCCUCCUUUACCUUCCCAGCCAGAGGCUUCC
This 970-nucleotide long non-coding RNA is filed under the name Zalophus californianus (California sea lion). Its description in RNAcentral is "lncRNA (ENSZCAG00015009851.1)". Lineage: Eukaryota; Metazoa; Chordata; Mammalia; Carnivora; Otariidae. The record is from RNAcentral.